This 879-nucleotide ribosomal RNA is filed under the name uncultured bacterium. RNAcentral's name for it is "bacterial SSU rRNA". It matches the Rfam family "Bacterial small subunit ribosomal RNA", at positions 8 to 916 of the family's 1533-position model. The record is from RNAcentral.
AGAGUUUGAUCAUGGCUCAGGAUGAACGCUGGCGGCGUGCCUAACACAUGCAAGUCGAGCGAUCUUCUUCGGAAGAGAGCGGCGGACGGGUGAGUAACGCGUGGGUAACCUGCCUCAUACACAUGGAUAACAUACCGAAAGGUAUGCUAAUACAAGAUGAUAUAAGAGAUUCGCAUGGAUUUCUUAUCAAAGCUCCGGCGGUAUGAGAUGGACCCGCGUCUGAUCAGCUAGUUGGUAAGGUAACGGCUUACCAAGGCGACGAUCAGUAGCCGACCUGAGAGGGUGAUCGGCCACAUUGGAACUGAGACACGGUCCAAACUCCUACGGGAGGCAGCAGUGGGGAAUAUUGCACAAUGGGCGAAAGCCUGAUGCAGCAACGCCGCGUGAGCGAUGAAGGCCUUCGGGUCGUAAAGCUCUGUCCUCAAGGAAGAUAAUGACGGUACUUGAGGAGGAAGCCCCGGCUAACUACGUGCCAGCAGCCGCGGUAAUACGUAGGGGGCUAGCGUUAUCCGGAUUUACUGGGCGUAAAGGGUGCGUAGGUGGUUUCUUAAGUCAGGAGUGAAAGGCUACGGCUCAACCGUAGUAAGCUCUUGAAACUGGGAAACUUGAGUGCAGGAGAGGAAAGUGGAAUUCCUAGUGUAGCGGUGAAAUGCGUAGGUAUUAGGAGGAACACCAGUAGCGAAGGCGGCUUUCUGGACUGUAACUGACACUGAGGCACGAAAGCGUGGGGAGCAAACAGGAUUAGAUACCCUGGUAGUCCACGCCGUAAACGAUGAGUACUAGGUGUCGGGGGUUACCCCCCUCGGUGCCGCAGCUAACGCAUUAAGUACUCCGCCUGGGGAGUACGCUCGCAAGAGUGAAACUCAAAGGAAUUGACGG